RNAcentral lists this long non-coding RNA (2037 nucleotides) under Felis catus (domestic cat). Its description in RNAcentral is "lncRNA (ENSFCAG00000049729.1)". The record is from RNAcentral. Lineage: Eukaryota; Metazoa; Chordata; Mammalia; Carnivora; Felidae.
CUCAUAGUGUGAUAGAUCUAUCUUAAGUAGAAAAUGUACUCUAUUUAAAAGGGAGAUAAUGUUGUGUGUGUCCUAUUAAAACUUGUAAAAUGUCACACUAAAUGCUAACACUUCAAAUGUGGGGUUGUUUCUAGCCCAUAUUUGAUUUCACCCAUCCAUGUGAAUCCGGCUACCAUUACUGUUUUUUCUCUUCUCCUUGAUCCACUAAUUUUAAUUAUGUAGCAUCAAAGAAAAAAGGUCUGCAUAUGUCUCUAAGAUAUUUUAUUUAAAAAUUUAGUUUUCAAGGACUAGUAUAAAUGUCUGUACUUAACUUUACCAACAGUGGAUUACUUCCAGAUGCAUCCUUCAAUAGCAUCAUGUAAACAUAAACUUCCUUCUCAUAGUCAUUACAGCUAGCAUUUAUUGGACAUUUACUAUGGCAAACAUUGAGCAAAUAUAGUACAUGAAAUAUCUUGUUAAACUGUCACCAAAAACAAAUGAGCUAGAUAUUGUUAUUAUCUUCUUUUUAUGAGGAACAGAGGCACAGAGGUUUAUAUUUGAAACCCAAGUCAUCUGGAUCCAGAGUCUGUGUUCUUGACUACAUUAUGUCCAUCCAUUUAGCAUAAUGCUGUAUAUAAAAAGGGCUCUUGCUAGAAGCACAGUGAAGUGAAAUUGAAAUUCAAGGUUAGUGAAGGACCCUUUUAUUUUGGUAAGUCAGUUCUUCAUAGGAAAACAAGAAAAAAAAAACCACCUUAGUUUGUGAUUUUAAUCACAGACGUCAGUCAUUUCUCCAAGGCAGACUAGGAUUUGCGCAGAUAAUAUUUACUGAAUAUCUACCGGGUAGAAAUUAUACAGUAUUGGGGAAUAUUUAAUUCUCAUGAUUACCAGAGGGAAGAGGCCCAGGAAUUUCAGAACUUUCCUAAGUUUGCAUGCAAAAAUUUGACUUUAAUAUAUAUGUGUACUUUUCUGAAUAGGAUGCUAAGAGCUGUCGUCAGAGUUUCCAAGAAUUAAUGGCAUUGCCCAUAGGAUUCACAACCACUGUCCUGGGGGAUGUGGGCCCAAGAAGACUGGGUUUGGACCUGGCCAUUCGGCUCCAGGUGCUCUUUCAACUUUUAAGUAUGAGAAAAAUGAAGGAACUGGAGACGUUUGUUUCUACUCAGUAGCUGUAAUAAGAAAUCUGCAUAUUGGACUUGCAUCUUGAGAGGUUUCAGUGAAAAGCCUUUAACUGAUGGUAAUUUGUGAGUUGGAAAAAAAAACUUUGCUCAUCUGACAAGAACAUUUGGUGAGUAAUCAGAUACAUUCUACAUAAAGACAGAUUGCUGGACUUGAAAUUAAUAUUUUAUUGCAAUUUUAUGUAAUGAAUAUGUUAUUUUAUGACCUGUCAACUGUUUAGCCAUAAUUACAAUUCCUACGUACAGAACAUUCAUUUUGUCCUUCCAAAAGAGCAUCAAUUAUAUUUCUUUUAGACAAACUUCACAAGAACUCUAAUAAGUGGAACUACUUCCUGUUUGCCUUUAUAAUAUUCCCCUAAAAGUCAGCCCUCCUGGUAGUAAAAUAGUUUAUAAUUAGAAAUUCAGAUCAGCCAUUAUACAUUGUUUCCACUUUCAUUAUUUUUGAAAUUCAUGCAACUAAGUGCGAUCAGGCAAAAAACAAUUAGAGAUGUGCUAAAAUACUUACAAAACAUUUAGCUAUCAGAUAUUUUCCCAAGCUGUUUGGUCUCAUGUUUGAAUAGUAUUUUGAAACAGUCUGUAAUGAGAAAAAUUCUAUAUUAAAAGCGCAUACAUUUUGGGGCACCAGAGUGACUCAGCCAGUUAAACGUCUGGCUCUCGAUUUCAGUUCAGGUCAUGAUCUCACAGUUUGUGAGUUCAAACCCCCCAUGGGGCUCUGCGCUGACAGAUUCUCUCUCCCUCUCUCUUUGCCCCUCCCCUGCUCACACACUCUAUCUCAAAACAAAUAAGUGAACUUUAAAAAAAAAGCACACACAUGUUUAUAAACAUACAUACAUGUUGUAAAUAACAGUUAAAUAAAUAACAGAUGUGAACAUAAAGGUGCCUUGGU